AGCAAUUAUACGGCGAAACUGCGAAUGGCUCAUUAUAUAAGUUAUCGUUUAUUUGAUAGCACUUUUCUACUCGGAUAACUGUGGUAAUUCUAGAGCUAAUACGUGCUGAAAAACCCGACUUCGGAAGGGCUGUAUUUAUUAGAUUAAAAACCAAUGCCCCUCGGGGCUUCUUGGUGAUUCAUGAUAACUUCUCGAAUCGCAUGGCCUUGCGCCGGCGAUGGUUCAUUCAAAUUUCUUCCCUAUCAACUUUCGAUGCGAGGGUAUUGUCCUCGCAUGGUUACAACGGGUAACGGAGGGUUAGGGCUCGACCCCGGAGAAGGAGCCUGAGAAACGGCUACUACAUCCAAGGAAGGCAGCAGGCGCGCAAAUUACCCAAUCCCGAUACGGGGAGGUAGUGACAAUAAAUACUGAUACAGGGCUCUUUUGGGUCUUGUAAUCGGAAUGAGUACAAUUUAAAUCCCUUAACGAGGAACAAUUGGAGGGCAAGUCUGGUGCCAGCAGCCGCGGUAAUUCCAGCUCCAAUAGCGUAUAUUAAAGUUGUUGUGGUUAAAAAGCUCGUAGUUGAACCUUGGGCCUGGCUACAAGGACCGCCUCACCGCGAGAUCUUUCCGUAGCCGGGUCUUUCCCUCUGUGGAACCCCAUGGCCUUCACUGGUCGUGGCGGGGAAACAGGACUUUUACUUUGAAAAAAUUAGAGUGCUCCAGGCAGGCCUAUGCUCGAAUACAUUAGCAUGGAAUAAUAAAAUAGGACGCGUGGUUCUAUUUUGUUGGUUUCUAGGACCGCCGUAAUGAUUAAUAGGGACAGUCGGGGGCAUCAGUAUUCAAUUGUCAGAGGUGAAAUUCUUGGAUCUAUUGAAGACUAACUACUGCGAAAGCAUUUGCCAAGGAUGUUUUCAUUGAUAAGGAACGAAAGUUAGGGGAUCGAAGACGAUCAGAUACCGUCGUAGUCUUAACUAUAAACUAUGCCGACUAGGGAUCGGACGAUGUUAUAUUUUGACUCGUUCGGCACCUUUCGAGAAAUCAAAGU
Molecule: ribosomal RNA, 1026 nt
Filed under: Cucurbitinus constrictus
Lineage: Eukaryota; Fungi; Ascomycota; Sordariomycetes; Microascales; Halosphaeriaceae
Description: SSU rRNA
Rfam family: Eukaryotic small subunit ribosomal RNA
Source: RNAcentral